CCUCAAGUCCAUAUCACCACGAAUCCUAGUGACGUGCGAGCGACCUUUGGGCUUCGUAUUUAGCUCUAAGUUUGGGACCAACUCGAAAGUUGGCAGAGACACUUCUUCAGUCGACACAUCAUGUAGGAUGGGGAACUCGUUUCCCCAAAUACGCAAUGUGUGUUCCAAUGUGUACACCUCAUCGAUAUAUUAUUCGUCAUAUAUCGAGGCGUCAGCAGAAGUUGUAGCAACGUGCGCACACAGGUACCAAAGAGUCUAGAAACUCUCACAGUCGCACCGCCUGUUUGGGAGAUCAACUCCGUAGAACCUAGGCAAGAUACCCGGUCAACGACCAAUAGAC
Molecule: long non-coding RNA, 340 nt
Filed under: Gossypium barbadense (sea-island cotton)
Lineage: Eukaryota; Viridiplantae; Streptophyta; Magnoliopsida; Malvales; Malvaceae
Description: long non-coding RNA (GBAR_LNC019056)
Source: RNAcentral